AGUGAACGCUGGCGGUAGGCCUAACACAUGCAAGUCGAACGGCAGCACAGUAAGAGCUUGCUCUUACGGGUGGCGAGUGGCGGACGGGUGAGGAAUACAUCGGAAUCUACUUUUUCGUGGGGGAUAAUGUAGGGAAACUUACGCUAAUACCGCAUACGACCUACGGGUGAAAGCAGGGGAUCUUCGGACCUUGCGCGAUUGAAUGAGCCGAUGUCGGAUUAGCUAGUUGGCGGGGUAAAGGCCCACCAAGGCGACGAUCCGUAGCUGGUCUGAGAGGAUGAUCAGCCACACUGGAACUGAGACACGGUCCAGACUCCUACGGGAGGCGGCAGUGGGGAAUAUUGGACAAUGGGCGCAAGCCUGAACCAGCCAUACCGCGUGGGUGAAGAAGGCCUUCGGGUUGUAAAGCCCUUUUGUUGGGAAAGAAAAGCAGCAGGUUAAUACCCCGCUGUUCUGACGGUACCCAAAGAAUAAGCACCGGCUAACUUCGUG
RNAcentral lists this ribosomal RNA (492 nucleotides) under uncultured bacterium. RNAcentral describes it as "partial 16S ribosomal RNA". It matches the Rfam family "Bacterial small subunit ribosomal RNA", at positions 29 to 507 of the family's 1533-position model. The record is from RNAcentral.